CUAGAUUGCUGUUUCCCCCGAUUUCUUUCUUUUUUCAUCUUGCUAAAUCCUGCAAUGUUUUUUAAACUUAGGCAUGGAAGAUUGCCUCAAAUAUUGAAUGUCCAGGGUUUCCAAGACCCUCUUUGAUAUGCUGUAGCCACACGUUCCUGGACAGCAAGGAGAAUUUAUAAUUUCUGUUUACAUCUUCGAAUCUCAGCAGAGAGGAGAUGCCCAGCCAGCUCUGCUUGUGGAAUGGAUUCUCAAUGGGCCAGCUCCUGCAUGUUGGUGUGUUGGUGCAUGUCAGACUGCCAUUCAACAAAAGGCAAGACUCUGCCUCCACUCUGGGUAUUCUGGAAAAUGACCGGCAAUCAGCCUGCCCUAGGCACAGAGAGCUGUCCUGGGAAGCCCUCCAUUGGAAUGAGAGUGGACACAGAGCAAGUGGUAUCCCCUGUGGACUGGUGACUAUGUAGUCAAUGGAGUUGGGAUGUUAAAACUGGUCAGUGUGGCUAGGUAACGGCACUGAAGGCCAGAUAACCCCAUCCAAACAUGCUCAGCACCUUGGAAACAGGAAAAGUCUGCACCAAAUGUGGACACACCUCCUAAAAGGUGAAGUCACUGAGUAGCCUGAGAAUGCAUUUCCAGCACUGAGGGUGGGCAGGGGAUGCUGAAAUAAAAAUUAAAUUCUGUUAUCAAAACAAAGGAAGAUGGCAUCUUUGCAUGUCUGAGAAUAUAGACUACCAUUUAUUCCAACUACUUGUCCAGAAAGCAAAAUCUAUUUAUCUAUAGUUUUUGCCUUUUUCUAUCCAUUGGGCCAAAGUAAAUUUUUAUUUUGCAUGCUUAUAUUUUUAUUUUCAAAGUAAAUUUUUCUUUUGUGUGUUUUCUCUUGGCUAACGAAAGAUAGAGAUUGCUAGGAACUGAAUGUUUACACAUUCCUCCCCGCAUUCAUGUAUUGAAAUCCUAAUCCCCAAGGUGAUGGAUUAGGGGGUGGAGCCAUUGGAAGGCGAUAAGGUCAUAAGGGUAGAAUUCCCACAAGUGGGAUCAGUGACCCCAUAAAAGGACAUAUGAGAACUUGCUUUUUCUCUCUCUGUUCUCCUCCAUGUGUGGACACAGCAAGAUGACCAUCUGCAAUUCAGGUAGCAACCCCCCACCAGACAUGGGAUCUGCCAGUGGUUUGAUCCUGGACUCCUAGCCUCCAGAGAUGUGAGAAAUAAAUGUUUGUUGUUUAAGCCACCAGUCUAUGGUAAUGUGUUAUAGCAGCCCAAACUAACUAAUAUGGUUUGGCUUUGUGUCCCCACCUUAAUCUUAACUUGAAUUGUAAUUCCAUAAUCCCCACAUGUCAUGGGGAGGGACCCAGUGGGAGGUAAUUGAAUAAUGGGAGUGUUUUUUCCCCAUGCUGUUCUCGUAAUAGUGAGUGAGCUCUCACGAGAUCCAGUGGUUUUAUGAGAGGCUUCCCCCUUCACUCAGCACUUCUUUUUCCUGCACCAUGUGAAGAAGGAUGUGUUUGCUUCCCAUUUUG
RNAcentral lists this long non-coding RNA (1495 nucleotides) under Homo sapiens (human). RNAcentral describes it as "HSALNT0026747". The record is from RNAcentral. Lineage: Eukaryota; Metazoa; Chordata; Mammalia; Primates; Hominidae.